UACGAAGGGGGCUAGCGUUGUUCGGAAUUACUGGGCGUAAAGCGCGCGCAGGCGGUCUUCCAAGUCAGUGGUGAAAGCCCGGAGCUCAACUCCGGAACUGCCAUUGAAACUGUGAGACUGGAGCACGAGAGAGGUGAGUGGAAUUCCCAGUGUAGAGGUGAAAUUCGUAGAUAUUGGGAAGAACACCGGUGGCGAAGGCGGCUCACUGGCUCGUAACUGACGCUGAGGCGCGAAAGCGUGGGGAGCAAACAGG
RNAcentral lists this ribosomal RNA (253 nucleotides) under uncultured bacterium. Its description in RNAcentral is "partial 16S ribosomal RNA". It matches the Rfam family "Bacterial small subunit ribosomal RNA", at positions 524 to 776 of the family's 1533-position model. The record is from RNAcentral.